AAUCAACGCUGGCGGCGUGCCUAACACAUGCAAAUCGAACGCGAAAGGGUCCUUCGGGGCUCGAGUAGAGUGGCGGACGGGUGAGUAACACGUGGGUGACCUGCCUUCCAGAGGGGGAUAACUCCGGGAAACUGGAGCUAAGACCGCAUGAGCUCUCGGGAGCGACCCUGAGAGGAAAUGUUGAAAGACAGCUGGAAGAGGGGCCCGCGCCCGAUUAGCUGGUUGGCGGGGUAAGAGCCCACCAAGGCGACGAUCGGUAGCCGGUCUGAGAGGACGGACGGCCACACUGGAACUGAGACACGGUCCAGACUCCUACGGGAGGCAGCAGUGGGGAAUUUUGCGCAAUGGGGGAAACCCUGACGCAGCAACGCCGCGUGGAGGAUGAAGGUUUUCGGAUCGUAAACUCCUGUCCCCGGGGAAAAAACAAAUGAUGGUACCCGGGGAGGAAGCCCCGGCUAACUCCGUGCCAGCAGCCGCGGUAAUACGGGGGGGGCAAGCGU
This 500-nucleotide ribosomal RNA is filed under the name uncultured bacterium. RNAcentral describes it as "bacterial SSU rRNA". It matches the Rfam family "Bacterial small subunit ribosomal RNA", at positions 29 to 541 of the family's 1533-position model. The record is from RNAcentral.